GUCCCAUGCUACGGUGGUGGUGGAGGGCCAGAAAUGAUGACACGUAACAGAAAUGGGUACAGAGGACUUGAAAUGAGGCGUAGCCUAAGUAUGUGCUCAUGAAAUGUGGACAGAUGGCCACUCAUGCCAAAAUCUGGACAAAUGUCCAAAAAGGAGGACACACUCUCUAUCCAGACAGAGGGCUCAAAAACUGGACUGUCCGGACGAAAUCCGAACGGAUGGCCACCCUAGUUGUUUUGUGGGGUCAGAUGAGAGUUUGGGACUGUUUCAGUUCAGUGUUGUUGUUGUCCUCAUGUCUUUUUGCUUUCCAGUUUGUAAAAUACCUCAAAUUAAAACUUAAAAUGUAAAGGUUUGUGUAAAAACACAUACAGAACCACAAUCAUUCAAUGUCCUGUCUAAUUGCUGCUCCCAGGCCUCUUGAGUGCAGCUCCAUAGAAAACCGCACGGUGAGACACACAGACACAGCUUUCAUUGUGGUGCUGCCCACAGGUUUACACGUGUUAUCAUCUAUAGUCAAAGAGAAUGCCAUUAUAGGAACUAUUCAUUUAUUAUUAUUUGAAUAGAUUGGCAUUAAGACAUUGCUUUUACACAGACCAUGUCAGUGCUGGGUCCUUAGAAUCAUCCUACCCCCCCCCCCCCCCCCCCCCCAUGGCGGCCCUGCCCUUAGGUAUCAGAGUAAGAUAUGGAUAGUAGGGGGUUAAUAAGGGAAGUGAAGGGUGCUAUUGGGUUUGUUGUUUAUGUAACUGGGUAGGUAGAUUGAUUCAAAAUGCUAUGUUUGUGUUUAUCAUCUUUUUCAGAUUGUAUUAUGUUAUAUUUGGUUUCUUCAUCAUGUCCUUUUAAGAAAGAAUUUGGACAAUGCGGAAAUCUCCAGCCAAAGUGAGCACUUCUAGCAUCAUCCUCCUGCACUCUCAGAAAAGAAAACAAAGAAUUACCUUAAGAGUGUAGGACUUUCUUCUAUGGCGAAAAAGGUUCAGCUACAGUAUCUGGGUUUGUGCGGAAUUCUGCUGCAUCUUACAUGUAGAGAUAAAGUGGUUUCCAUCAACACACCUCUGGGGGAGAAUGUCACGCUGCACUGUAACACAUCUGGAAUGGAUAUAACAAAAAUCAAAUGGGCAAAGGAUGGGAUCCAGGUGUUUGUAUAUAGCCCAGUAUUGGAAGACAAAAAAGACAAAAUCAAAACAAGCUUCACUUCAGAAAGGAUGGGUGUUGAUCCUUCUACUACGGUGCUGCAUAUAUCCGACGUACUGGUCUCUGAUGAGGGAAUAUACACAUGUGAAGUAUUAGGUUCUCAAGCCCAAAAGACAGAAACAUGGAACUUGACUGUUACUUCAGACUCACCAGAUCCAUCCCAAUUGAUCUACAUCAGCACUGCUGCCAUAUCAGGGACAAUCCUCAUCAUCAUCUGUAGCAUAUUAUGUAUUUACAGCUCUAAAUUUUCUAACCUGUACAAGCCUGCCAUACGUGAAGCUGAAGAUGUCUUGACGGAAGUGUUUUUCUCAGCUACGCAACAAGGCACCAUUAGAAGUGAAGCUCCCCUGGAUGUAUGAUGAAUGAAUUAUUCGAUUUCAAAUAAAAAUAUGUCUUGUUACA
RNA transcript from Alosa sapidissima (American shad), 1590 nucleotides. RefSeq lists it as uncharacterized. The record is from RefSeq and is a predicted model, not a curated record. The transcript has 5 exons. Lineage: Eukaryota; Metazoa; Chordata; Actinopteri; Clupeiformes; Clupeidae.